RNAcentral lists this ribosomal RNA (253 nucleotides) under uncultured bacterium. RNAcentral describes it as "partial 16S ribosomal RNA". It matches the Rfam family "Bacterial small subunit ribosomal RNA", at positions 524 to 776 of the family's 1533-position model. The record is from RNAcentral.
UACGUAGGGUGCGAGCGUUGUCCGGAAUUAUUGGGCGUAAAGGGCGCGCAGGCGGUCACGCACGUCCGUUGUGAAAUCGCUCGGCUCAACUGGGCGGGGUCAGCGGAUACGGCGUGACUGGAGCAAGCUAGGGGGCAAUGGAAUUCCCGGUGUAGUGGUGGAAUGCGUAGAUAUCGGGAGGAACACCAGUGGCGAAGGCGGCAUCCUGGACCGGCAUUGACGCUGAGGAGCGAAAGCUAGGGGAGCAAACGGG